RNAcentral lists this ribosomal RNA (447 nucleotides) under uncultured bacterium. RNAcentral's name for it is "bacterial SSU rRNA". It matches the Rfam family "Bacterial small subunit ribosomal RNA", at positions 355 to 825 of the family's 1533-position model. The record is from RNAcentral.
UGGGGAAUAUUGGACAAUGGGCGAAAGCCUGAUCCAGCCAUGCCGCGUGAGUGACGAAGGCCUUAGGGUUGUAAAACUCUUUCGUCGGGGACGAUAAUGACGGUACCCGAAGAAGAAGCUCCGGCUAACUUCGUGCCAGCAGCCGCGGUAAUACGAAGGGAGCUAGCGUUGUUCGGAAUCACUGGGUGUAAAGCGCACGUAGGCGGAUAGUUAAGUCAGGGGUGAAAUCCUGGGGCUCAACCCCAGAACUGCCUUUGAUACUGCAAGUCUUGAGUGUGGUAGAGGCUAUUAGAAUUCUUGGUGUAGUGGUGAAAUACGUAGAUAUCAAGAGGAAUACCGGAGGCGAAGGCGGAUAGCUGGGCCAACACUGACGCUGAGACCCGAAAGCGUGGGGAUCAAACAGGAUUAGAUACCCCAGUAGUCCCUGAGCGGGCUGGCAAGGCGCAU